UACAGAGGUCCCAAGCGUUGUUCGGAUUCAUUGGGCGUAAAGGGUGCGUAGGCGGCGCGGUAAGUCGGGUGUGAAAUCUCGGAGCUUAACUCCGAAACUGCAUUCGAUACUGCCGUGCUUGAGGACUGGAGAGGAGACUGGAAUUUACGGUGUAGCGGUGAAAUGCGUAGAUAUCGUAAGGAAGACCAAUGGCGAAGGCGGGUCUCUGGACAGUUCCUGACGCUGAGGCACGAAGGUCAGGGGAGCAAACGGG
This 253-nucleotide ribosomal RNA is filed under the name uncultured bacterium. Its description in RNAcentral is "partial 16S ribosomal RNA". It matches the Rfam family "Bacterial small subunit ribosomal RNA", at positions 524 to 776 of the family's 1533-position model. The record is from RNAcentral.